GGAGAAAGGCAAAUGGGCUAAGGAUAGUAGAGGAUCAUUGGAUAUAAGGUUCAGAGGGACCUUAGAGAUCAUCUAGGCUUUCCCAUCUCAUUUUACACCUUCCCUCAUUUUACAGAUGUACAGAGUGAACAACCUACAAGACUAAUCUGAUUGGGAAACAACUAAGAACCUUCUGGUAUUGCCUGGUUGUUCCAGGCUUCUCAACCUCCGAAGAGAUCCAGCCAGCACCCAUGAGACCCCAGCCUUGGGGCCUCAGAGGAGGCUCUGGAAUGAUACUCAGAACUGCUCAUCUGACCUGGAAAAAAGGCAGGAGGGUGGGAGGUGAGAGGUUUGCUUCUCUAGCUGGACUGGACCCCAUGGCUGGGCCCACAGUGAGCUGGGCUCAGUAAAGACGUGUUGACCUACUGAACUCCCAUUUAAAGGAUCCUAGGGGGAGAGAUGGGAAGAUGGAAGACCGGAGUGGCUAUUCCCAGUGAGCAUGCCACUCAUGGGCCCCACUCAUGGCCACUCAUAGGCUAGUAGGGGAAUGAGGUACAUGCGUAAUAAUUAUAAUACAAAAUAAAAUUUGAUACAUGCAUAUGAAAGGUGCA
Molecule: long non-coding RNA, 590 nt
Filed under: Vombatus ursinus (common wombat)
Lineage: Eukaryota; Metazoa; Chordata; Mammalia; Diprotodontia; Vombatidae
Description: lncRNA (ENSVURG00010024785.1)
Source: RNAcentral